RNAcentral lists this ribosomal RNA (225 nucleotides) under uncultured bacterium. Its description in RNAcentral is "partial 16S ribosomal RNA". It matches the Rfam family "Bacterial small subunit ribosomal RNA", at positions 15 to 231 of the family's 1533-position model. The record is from RNAcentral.
GAUCAUGACUCAGGAUGAACGCUAGCUACAGGCUUAACACAUGCAAGUCGAGGGGCAGCAUGGUCUUAGCUUGCUAAGGCCGAUGGCGACCGGCGCACGGGUGAGUAACACGUAUCCAACCUGCCGUCUACUCUUGGACAGCCUUCUGAAAGGAGGAUUAAUACAAGAUGGCAUCAUGAGUUCACAUGUUCACAUGAUUAAAGGUAUUCCGGUAGACGAUGGGGA